This 1357-nucleotide long non-coding RNA is filed under the name Cinara cedri. Lineage: Eukaryota; Metazoa; Arthropoda; Insecta; Hemiptera; Aphididae. The record is from RNAcentral.
AUACGACUUUUCGGCAAUGGCGGUCGUAUAAAUUCGGAUAUAAAUCGCCCGGAACUAUAACAAUACAUGAAAGUGACGUUAUCCGUAUUUUGUCGUUUGAAACUUUUUUAAAUAUUUUUAUUUUUUUUUUUUUUUGACGUGCCUAUAACACGUACCAUAUAGUAUGGCGAAAUAUUGACGGGUUGUCUAUAAUAAGGUAAGAACAUACGGAAUACGGUUUUAAUGAAACUAUCAGCCACAAAAUAUCUAUAAUAUUAAUUUAAUUAUUUGUUUUACGGUGCGAGGUUUCAACGUUGUCGCGUUGCGUGCGGUUUUAAUUUUAUUAUUUCGAUUAUGGUACGCGGGUAUUUAUGUUUUAUUCGUUUUAAAACGUUCACAAUUCAAAAUCUAACAGAAAAAUGCACCGGUUCUUAUCUUGUAAAAAUAUACAUGUGUACACAUGUAUGGGUAUUAAAAUUCGAAAUCGGUCGCCGUCGUGAACCGACGGAGUCUCAUACGUUCGACGGUAUUGACCUUAUUGCAUCAUUGUCGACGAGAUUGUUGAACACUCUUUAAUGCAUUAGUAUCUGCAGUGUGCAGCGUUUUGUUUUUGUUUUUGUUUUUGUUUUUUUCUAUCGAAUAGACUUUUCGGAUCCCUAGCGAAUUUAUUUCAGCGGCUUCGUUCGGUAGGGGUGACGGGAGAAAGUCAACCGGGUAAUAUUCGUUCCGGACUAACUGUCAGAGCCUUUUAGCGGCAUUUUCGGCUCUUUGGGUUUAGGGAGAGAUGGGGAAAUAUCUAAAAAUGUUCCCGCGGACAAUAUAAAUCCGUGGUUCGAUUAUUCUAUUUUCUUCGUGGCUCUUAACGAUACGAUUAUUAAAUGUUAAAAUAUACUCAAAACAAAUGCUGAAAUGACGCGAAAAUGUGUCUGAUUCUCCGUGAACGUGAACAUUUUAAAUAUAAAUACUCAUUACGAAAUGCAAUAUUCGAGAGCAGCGAUACAUUUUUUUUUUAAUAGAGGGUAGGGGUGUUGAAUAAGUCAUUUUCGACAAAUUUGGUGAGUACGUCCCAAUUCAAGAUCCAAGAUUAUUGUAUAAAAUUAUAUCGGAACGGUGAAUUAACCUAUACGAUGCGUGUUUUUUGUUCGAAAAAUUGAUAAAAAAAAACUAUUUCUAAAAUCGUUUAAAAUUAUUGCACUAUUACUAAGCGAUUCGCGUCGAAAGAAGAUAAUAAUUUGGGAUUUUAGUCGAUUUGUAUAUUUCGUUAUUUUAAUGUUGGUAUUUUAACGUAAACGACGAGAAUGACUAGAAAAACGUUGCAAAUAAUUUUUUUUUUUCAGAUUUAACAUUCCGAUUUUUACAACUGGAACAGCAACGCGAC